Molecule: ribosomal RNA, 322 nt
Filed under: uncultured bacterium
Lineage: Bacteria
Description: bacterial SSU rRNA
Rfam family: Bacterial small subunit ribosomal RNA
Source: RNAcentral
AACGAACGCUGGCGGAGUGCUUAAUACAUGCAAGUCGAGCGAGAAAGCUUCUUCGGAAGUGAGUAGAGCGGCGAACGGGUGAGUAACACGUAAAUAACCUGCCUCUAAAUUUGGGAUAACCUUGCUAACGCGGGGCUAAUACCGGAUGUGGUUUCUAAUUCGCAUGAAUAUGAAAUUAAAGAUGACCUCUCCUUGGAAGUUAUUGUUUAGAGAUGGAUUUGCGCACCAUUAGCUAGUUGGUGGGGUAAUAGCCUACCAAGGCUUCGAUGGUUAGCCGGCCUGAGAGGGUGAUCGGCCACAUCGGGACUGAGAUACGGCCCAG